AUGUGUUACUGGUCAAAGUAUGAACAAGAUUGUGGUGAUGUAAAUGCAAGCACUUCUGUUGUAAUGGUUUGUUUUUCCCUGUUUCCAGUUGCCAAGCUUUAUUCACUGGUCUGCAUAUUCAUUUUGUUGUUUCUUAUCCCUUCCAGCAAAGGUUGCAGAUUUAGUGAAAACAUGGCAGAAAAAAACCCUCUAAAUUACUUCCAUGUACUAAAAAUAUUAACCCUCAGAUGUGUCAAGUCAAACUUUACAAAAUCUGACCAAAUUUAUAUUAAAAAUAUUAACUUCUACAAUAUCAAAUAUAUAUGCUAUGAAUCUAACAAUACUCAUUUGGCAUUGUCAAUGUUGAUAUUUUUUUCUAUAAGUUUGGUUGAAGUAGAGAUAUUUUGA
This 387-nucleotide ribosomal RNA is filed under the name Triticum aestivum (bread wheat). Its description in RNAcentral is "partial small subunit ribosomal RNA". The record is from RNAcentral. Lineage: Eukaryota; Viridiplantae; Streptophyta; Magnoliopsida; Poales; Poaceae.